AGAGCGAACGCUGGCGGCAGGCCUAACACAUGCAAGUCGAGCGCUCGUAGCAAUACGAGAGCGGCAGACGGGAGAGUAACACGUGGGAACGUACCCUUUGGUUCGGAACAACACAGGGAAACUUGUGCUAAUACCGAAUAAGCCCUUACGGGGAAAGAUUUAUCGCCAAAGGAUCGGCCCGCGUCUGAUUAGCUAGUUGGUGGGGUAAUGGCUCACCAAGGCGACGAUCAGUAGCUGGUCUGAGAGGAUGACCAGCCUCAUUGGGACUGAGACACGGCCCAAACUCCUACGGGAGGCAGCAGUGGGAAUAUUGGACAAUGGGCGCAAGCCUGAUCCAGCCAUGCCGCGUGGAUGAUGAAGGCCUUAGGGUUGUAAAGUCCUUUUAACGGGGAGAUAAUGACGGUACCGUAGAAUAAGCCCGGCUAACUUCGCGCUAGCAGCCGC
This 444-nucleotide ribosomal RNA is filed under the name uncultured bacterium. Its description in RNAcentral is "SSU rRNA". It matches the Rfam family "Bacterial small subunit ribosomal RNA", at positions 26 to 518 of the family's 1533-position model. The record is from RNAcentral.